GUCCCCGUAGCUCAGCUGGAUAGAGCGUAGGGUUGCGGACCCUAAGGCCGGGUGUUCAAAUCACCCCGGGGACA
This 74-nucleotide transfer RNA is filed under the name Candidatus Yanofskybacteria bacterium RIFCSPHIGHO2_01_FULL_41_26. RNAcentral's name for it is "tRNA-Arg". It matches the Rfam family "tRNA". From Rfam's summary of the family: Transfer RNA (tRNA) molecules are approximately 80 nucleotides in length. Their secondary structure includes four short double-helical elements and three loops (D, anti-codon, and T loops). Further hydrogen bonds mediate the characteristic L-shaped molecular structure. tRNAs have two regions of fundamental functional importance: the anti-codon, which is responsible for specific mRNA codon recognition, and the 3' end, to which the tRNAs corresponding amino acid is attached (by aminoacyl-tRNA synthetases). tRNAs cope with the degeneracy of the genetic code in two manners: having more than one tRNA (with a specific anti-codon) for a particular amino acid; and 'wobble' base-pairing, i.e. permitting non-standard base-pairing at the 3rd anti-codon position. The record is from RNAcentral. RNAcentral also lists the same sequence under 1 other name. Lineage: Bacteria; Candidatus Yanofskyibacteriota.